RNAcentral lists this ribosomal RNA (425 nucleotides) under uncultured bacterium. RNAcentral describes it as "partial 16S ribosomal RNA". It matches the Rfam family "Bacterial small subunit ribosomal RNA", at positions 354 to 796 of the family's 1533-position model. The record is from RNAcentral.
GUGGGGAAUCUUGCGCAAUGGGCGAAAGCCUGACGCAGCCAUGCCGCGUGAAUGAUGAAGGUCUUAGGAUUGUAAAAUUCUUUCACCGGGGACGAUAAUGACGGUACCCGGAGAAGAAGCCCCGGCUAACUUCGUGCCAGCAGCCGCGGUAAUACGAAGGGGGCUAGCGUUGCUCGGAAUUACUGGGCGUAAAGGGCGCGUAGGCGGACAGCUUAGUCAGAGGUGAAAGCCCAGGGCUCAACCUUGGAAUUGCCUUUGAUACUGGCUGUCUUGAGUGUGGGAGAGGUGAGUGGAACUCCGAGUGUAGAGGUGAAAUUCGUAGAUAUUCGGAAGAACACCAGUGGCGAAGGCGACUCACUGGCCCAAUACUGACGCUGAGGCGCGAAAGCGUGGGGAGCAAACAGGAUUAGAAACCCGUGUAGUCC